This is a non-coding RNA of Acanthosepion pharaonis, 98 nucleotides long. The record is from the annotation of a GenBank genome assembly. Lineage: Eukaryota; Metazoa; Mollusca; Cephalopoda; Sepiida; Sepiidae.
UACGGCCAGAUCAUGCUAAAAACACCGGUUCUUGUUCGAUCCCGAAGUUAAGCAGCAUCGAAUCCGGUCAGUACUUAGAUGGGAGACUACUUGGGAAC